UUAAGCGUAUAUUCUAACAAUUGGUAUCUGAGCCCAACUCUCUGAAAGACUUAACCGUUUGAGAGAAACAAUCCACGGCUUCUACUCGUGACUUUAAUGCAGGAAUAGGUGAAGGACAAUGCUCCACCAGACCACCACUGUUCGACGGUACAAACUAUACGUACUGGAAGGAGAGGAUGAGAAUAUUCAUCCAAUCGAAUAAUUUUCAUCUAUGGAAGGUUAUAACGAAGGGAG
RNAcentral lists this long non-coding RNA (234 nucleotides) under Nicotiana benthamiana. Its description in RNAcentral is "long non-coding RNA (NBEN_LNC009865)". The record is from RNAcentral. Lineage: Eukaryota; Viridiplantae; Streptophyta; Magnoliopsida; Solanales; Solanaceae.